This 468-nucleotide ribosomal RNA is filed under the name uncultured bacterium. Its description in RNAcentral is "partial 16S ribosomal RNA". It matches the Rfam family "Bacterial small subunit ribosomal RNA", at positions 28 to 507 of the family's 1533-position model. The record is from RNAcentral.
GACGAACGCUGGCGGCGUGCUUAACACAUGCAAGUCGAACGGAAAGGCCCUGCUUUUGUGGGGUGCUCGAGUGGCGAACGGGUGAGUAACACGUGAGUAACCUGCCCUUGACUUUGGGAUAACUUCAGGAAACUGGGGCUAAUACCGGAUAGGAGCUCCUGCUGCAUGGUGGGGGUUGGAAAGUUUCGGCGGUUGGGGAUGGACUCGCGGCUUAUCAGCUUGUUGGUGGGGUAGUGGCUUACCAAGGCUUUGACGGGUAGCCGGCCUGAGAGGGUGACCGGCCAAAUUGGGACUGGGAUGCGGCCCAGCCUCCUACGGGAGGCAGCAGUGGGGAAUAUUGCACAAUGGGCGGAAGCCUGAUGCAGCAACGCCGCGUGCGGGAUGACGGCCUUCGGGUUGUAAACCGCUUUCGCCUGUGACGAAGCGUGAGUGACGGUAAUGGGUAAAGAAGCACCGGCUAACUACGUG